RNAcentral lists this unclassified non-coding RNA (344 nucleotides) under soil metagenome. RNAcentral describes it as "partial contains 5.8S ribosomal RNA, internal transcribed spacer 2, and large subunit ribosomal RNA". The stretch from base 3 to 119 matches the Rfam family "5.8S ribosomal RNA", at positions 38 to 154 of the family's 154-position model. The record is from RNAcentral.
GAGAAGAACGCAGCGAAAUGCGAUACGUAAUGUGAAUUGCAGAAUUCAGUGAAUCAUCGAGUCUUUGAACGCACAUUGCGCCCCCUGGUAUUCCGGGGGGCAUGCCUGUCCGAGCGUCAAUGCUGCCCUCAAGCACGGCUUGUGUGUUGGGCCUCCGUCCUCCUCCCGGGGGACGGGCCCGAAAGGCAGCGGCGGCACCGCGUCCGGUCCUCGAGCGUAUGGGGCUUCGUCACCCGCUCUUGUAGGCCCGGCCGGCGCUUGCCGACACAUCAAUCUUUUUUCCAGGUUGACCUCGGAUCAGGUAGGGAUACCCGCUGAACUUAAGCAUAUCAAUAAGCGGAGGA